Oncorhynchus tshawytscha (Chinook salmon) is the source of this 3221-nucleotide long non-coding RNA. Lineage: Eukaryota; Metazoa; Chordata; Actinopteri; Salmoniformes; Salmonidae. The record is from Ensembl.
UCCUAGCUCUUGGGCACCUUACUAGCCAAAAGGUCAGGCAAAAGAGCGCCAAAAGGAAAUAACAGGUGCUGCAUGCACACAUUCAAUGCGCAACAGCACACCAUACAAUACAAGUAAAAUGAUACGGAACAUAAUUCGGACAAAGUAAAAGACAUACAUUAUGUUAACGCUUGGCGCGGUGCUAGCUCUCAGGCACCUACACAUGGACACUCAAACACUGUCCCAAGUCCUCACAAGUUACAAUAGAUACCCUAGUUAGCGAGCUUUGUGAAACUAGUUAACAUAAAUAUUUAUAUUAUCCACAUUGUAACAAACGUAUGGUAGCAUAACAGUACAUUGUGUAACAUUACCACGGUUUUAUAUUGAACCAUUUCGGAGCCAAGGACAACAUACCUUGCUAGCCGAAGGUCAGGCAAAAUAACAAUAAGGGGGUACGGAAAUACAGAUAACCCGCGAUGGACCAAACCAAAACAUACAAAACUUUUACAAUCACAUGUAUGUACAAUAUUGAUGUGGAAAAGUGUUUGUACACCAAAGAAAAACAUUAGCUAUGCAGCUGUAAUUAAAUAAAUAAAUACACUGAAUUAUGAUUAUUAUCAAAUUAUUAACAUCCCCUCAGAGUUGUCCAUUUUUAAAGAAAUGCAGCCAAUUUAUUCAUUACAUUUAGCUAACAUAGUUAAUCAAGAGAUUCUUACUUUUGCCUCCAUCAGCAUGAUUGUAAUGACAUUUGUAGUUCUUUAUAACCACAUUAGCAGCUAAUUAGCAUUCCAUGUUGGGUAAAUACAGGCAAAUAUAUUGAUAAAAGUCACCUUGACCUAGAGAUUUACACAGAUAUCAAACUGUCACACCAGGGUAAACCUACCUGAACCACAGCCCUUAUUUUGUGAAAAUGGAAUGGAAUGGUGGAAAAACAAUUGGAACCAUUUCCCUGUUUGACCGCUAGGUUUUAUGGUAUUAUGACUCAUACUGUGGUACUCUAUAGGGCUCCGGCCAAAAUAAGUGCUGUCUUUCAGGAAUCAGUGGGAAUGACCUCACCCUCACAGACCUGGGUGACCCCAUCAAUGACGGUGAUGUUAUGAAGGAAGUCAAGUGAGUGAUUUACACUAAUGACACAUAUGUGACUGGUUACAGGAUCACAUAGACCUACAAAUACAGAUUCUGUAGUAGGUCAAAGAUCACCACCUAUGGAGAGGUAGGCCCAGAGCCAUGUAUUUGGUUAGUUGGGACAUUCAAAUAUCUGCAUUAUGUUGCAUUUACAUCAAUAUGUAAACAUUACACGACACAGUAUAAUCAAAGAUAUCCAUAUGAGAGCUGGCUCCCCAUGGGCAAUAUUGACAUUUUUAACAAUGCUAUGUAACCGAACAUUAUUUUAUAAUUGACUUGUAAAUGAAAGGCUCAAAAGGCGCUAACAUGGAGUCAUGCCUAAAACUUGGCAGACUUCUCUAAAUAUAUGACUCUGGAUAGGCAGGCCGAGUCAUCUCAUAGUAUUGGAACCAUAGAAUUCGAGUGAUUCUAUUCAAAUUCUAGAAUGAUUAAUUUUACUUCUAUGAUUCUAAUUCUAUAAUUGGAAAACAUCCUCACACUCACAUUAUAGCACAUUAUAGUGACCUUAGAGUGAUUCCUUUUUCUGUAUCUAGACCUGAUACAGAUCAGAGAGACAGACCAAGUUGGAAGAGGCUGUUCUAGAGACAGAUAUCCCAACUCUGUGACUUGAGGAUGAAGGAGAAAUUAAGAUGCAGGAGGCUGAUCUGAAGACAGAUGGCACAUCUCAGUCACAGGAGGUAUGAUGCAUUGCGUUUUGUGUUUUAAUGACGCAGUGAAGAUUAAAAUGCCAAAUUAAUUUCCCAAGCUUUAGCUUAUAAAGGUCUUCUAAUCUAGGAGGCCAAAGGAGAGAUUGAGUUAAAUCAGGUUGAUCUGAAGACAGCCACAUCAACUCUGACACUGGAGGUCGAAGGAUAGAGUGUGAUGCAGGAGAGUGAUGAUCUAGAGACAGCUGGGACAUCUCAAUCCCAGGAGACUGAACGAGUGGCAAAGGUAAAUGCUUCCAGAUAACAGUGUGUGUGUGUGUACAUGUCUGUUUGUGCACACAGACAGUAGUUCGUAAACAGACAUUGCGUGAACAGUGCCUAUGGCGAAUUUGAUUGAAUUCCAGCCUAAGUCUGCUUUCUGUCAUCCCCAUCAGGCUGCAGUGGUGACCUUCACUACCAUGACCCGCAAGGCUGCAGCCUCCCAGACCAGCCUCACCCUCAGCAGGGGAAAGAGAAGCUACCCAGACCUACACGCCUUUGUGCAGGACAUAAAGGAUGGGUAGUUGCUCUUUGGUUCCCCAUGCAUCCCCUAGAUAUGUUCGAUAUUAGAGCCUUGGUCAACAAUAGUUCCUUAUUUAAGGAAUAGGGGCCAUUUGGGACGUACCCAUAGGGACAAUCUCAAUUGCAUUCUCCUCGAGUCCUCUCUUCUCGCCUCCUUCUCAAACCCAUUGGAUGAGAAAGCCCUCCCUUUUGACCUUCUCGUCCAAUGGGUUUUGAGAAGGAGGUGAGGUGUCUCGGGAAAUACAAGGGACUCAACUGACCAAUCAGGGAUGUUUGGAUGUGGCCUACUUCCGUAGAGGUCCAUCCAUAACGUAAUCUAAGAGAAUAGAGGUAAUAUCAUGUAGUUUAUUUGUGUACCUGUUUUUAUUUACUUUUCAGCCAUUGGAAUCUGCUGAGUGAGAAUAUGCGUGCCGGGGUGAGUUAUAGUCACUUCUAAAGUAGUUCAUGUUGGUAAGAUGGACCAAACAUUCCAAACUCUUAUUGGUGGAAAUCGUGCAGGAGCUUUAAUUCAGAGGUUCCCAAACUUUUCUACUUAGGCCCCCCUUUCCAGCAUUGUGGAACAUCCUGAACCACUGCUUUAAUUGACUAGCUUGAGUAAACACAUGGUGCAGCAGUGCAGCUCCGUUAAAAGACCAUAUUGAGUUAGUUUGUUAACAUUUCAGAUGAGCAGAGAUGAGUUUAGUGCUAGGUGCAUAUGGAUAUUACAAAUUGGGUGAUGGAGUCUACAUCCACUGUGGUCGUUCCUGCCAUUGACCUCACUAUGCAGAUCGAGCUCUCUGAUUCGUCAAGCUCUUCUGGAUCAGGAAGUAAUGAGACAAGAGAAGUGACCUCUCUUGGCCGCAGCGUCAGAUUCAGCUUUUGUGGUGGACCCAGUAGACGCACCAGUUCUGGAACUGCUUGAAGCACACAAAC